RNAcentral lists this ribosomal RNA (492 nucleotides) under uncultured bacterium. RNAcentral describes it as "partial 16S ribosomal RNA". It matches the Rfam family "Bacterial small subunit ribosomal RNA", at positions 29 to 507 of the family's 1533-position model. The record is from RNAcentral.
AGUGAACGCUGGCGGUAGGCCUAACACAUGCAAGUCGAACGGCAGCACAGUAAGAGCUUGCUCUUACGGGUGGCGAGUGGCGGACGGGUGACGAAUAUAUCGGAAUCUACUUUUUCGUGGGGGAUAACGUAGGGAAACUUACGCUAAUACCGCAUACGAUCUACGGGUGAAAGCAGUGGAUCUUCGCACCUUGCGCGAUUGAAUGAGCCGAUGUCGGAUUAGCUAGUUGGCGGGGUAAAGGCCCACCAAGGCGACGAUCCGUAGCUGGUCUGAGAGGAUGAUCGGCCACACUGGAACUGAGACACGGUCCAGACUCCUACGGGAGGCAGCAGUGGGGAAUAUUGGACAAUGGGCGCAAGCCUGAUCCAGCCAUACCGCGUGGGUGAAGAAGGCCUUCGGGUUGUAAAGCCCUUUUGUUGGGAAAGAAAAGCAGCAGGUUAAUACCCCGCUGUUCUGACGGUACCCAAAGAAUAAGCACCGGCUAACUUCGUG